This 775-nucleotide ribosomal RNA is filed under the name uncultured Neocallimastigales. RNAcentral's name for it is "partial large subunit ribosomal RNA". It matches the Rfam family "Eukaryotic large subunit ribosomal RNA", at positions 22 to 645 of the family's 3401-position model. The record is from RNAcentral. Lineage: Eukaryota; Fungi; Neocallimastigomycota; Neocallimastigomycetes; Neocallimastigales.
AGAGAGAGACAUGCGCCGCAUAUCAAUAAGCGGAGGAAAAGAAACUAACAAGGAUUCCCUUAGUAACGGCGAGUGAAGCGGGAAGAGCUCAAAUUUGAAAUCCUCAAGGUUUUACCUUGACGAAUUGUAGUUUAAAGAAGUGUUUUCUGCUGAAGUUUUGGUAAAAGUUCUUAGGAAUAGGACAUCAUAGAGGGUGAGAAUCCCGUAUUUGACCAUUAUUUUCAGCUUUGUGAUACACUUUCAAAGAGUCGGAUUGUUUGGGAAUGCAGUCCAAAAUGGGUGGUAAAUUUCAUCUAAAGCUAAAUAUUGGCGAGAGACCGAUAGCGAACAAGUACCGUGAGGGAAAGAUGAAAAGAACUUUGAAAAGAGAGUUAAACAGUACGUGAAAUUGUCAAAAGGGAAGCGUUUGACACCAGUGUUGUUUUCUCGAAAAUCAAUUAAAAAUGGCUCGAUUUUGUAUUGCUGAGACCUUAAAAGCUCACUGUACAUUUUUCGUGUCUUUUUUAAUGCACUUUUCGUUUAACAAGUCAACAUCAGUUUCUUUUGUUGUAAAAGGGUCAUUGGAAGGUGGCUUUCUUUUCGGAGAAAGUGUUUAUAGCCUUUGGCCUCUGCAAUCGGAGAGACUGAGGUCUGCAGCGUAGACUCUUCGGGGUUAGAUACAUUUGUGCUAAGUUAUAGCUUUAUAUAGACAACUUGUUGACUAUAAUUAGUCUUGUAGCUUACUCGCUUAUGCUAUUUUACCUACGCUUAGGAUGUUGAAGUCAUCGUAUCGCGC